UCCUGGCUCAGAUUGAACGCUGGCGGCAGGCUUAACACAUGCAAGUCGAGCGGUAGCACAGGGGAGCUUGCUCCCUGGGUGACGAGCGGCGGACGGGUGAGUAAUGUCUGGGAAACUGCCUGAUGGAGGGGGAUAACUACUGGAAACGGUAGCUAAUACCGCAUAACGUCGCAAGACCAAAGAGGGGGACCUUCGGGCCUCUUGCCAUCAGAUGUGCCCAGAUGGGAUUAGCUAGUAGGUGGGGUAAUGGCUCACCUAGGCGACGAUCCCUAGCUGGUCUGAGAGGAUGACCAGCCACACUGGAACUGAGACACGGUCCAGACUCCUACGGGAGGCAGCAGUGGGGAAUAUUGCACAAUGGGCGCAAGCCUGAUGCAGCCAUGCCGCGUGUGUGAAGAAGGCCUUCGGGUUGUAAAGCACUUUCAGCGAGGAGGAAGGUGGUGAGCUUAAUACGUUCAUCAAUUGACGUUACUCGCAGAAGAAGCACCGGCUAACUCCGUGCCAGCAGCCGCGGU
Molecule: ribosomal RNA, 515 nt
Filed under: Serratia marcescens
Lineage: Bacteria; Pseudomonadati; Pseudomonadota; Gammaproteobacteria; Enterobacterales; Yersiniaceae
Description: bacterial SSU rRNA
Rfam family: Bacterial small subunit ribosomal RNA
Source: RNAcentral